Molecule: long non-coding RNA, 228 nt
Organism: Eurytemora carolleeae
Lineage: Eukaryota; Metazoa; Arthropoda; Copepoda; Calanoida; Temoridae
Exons: 2
Source: RefSeq, a predicted model, not a curated record
UGGCGCCAGUCAGCUGAUAAAUCAAAAUGGCGCCAGUCAGCUGAUAAAUAAAAAUGGAGGUAGUCAAUUCAGCAGUCAGUUCAUGCCUAGUCAUCAUCUGGCGGGAUAUAGGUCCUUUCAGAACUCUUCCUCAGUGCUGGACAUCAUGUCAGGGUUAACCCACCUGUUUCAUUAAAUAUUAUCAUACUGCAAUUAGGUUUAUGUUGUAAUAAAACUAAUACUUCUUUU